AGGAUGAACGCUGGCGGCGUGCUUAACACAUGCAAGUCGAACGGUCUCGCAAGGGACAGUGGCGCACGGGUGAGGAACACGUAGCUUAUCUGCCUUCGAGUGUGGGAUAACGCUCCGAAAGGAGUGCUAAUACCGCAUAAGCUCCCAGUUUCUAGAGAACCGGGAGAAAAGGGGAAACCCGCUUGAAGAGGAGGCUGCGGCCCAUCAGGUAGUUGGUGCGGUAACGGCGCACCAAGCCAACGACGGGUAGGGGACCUGAGAGGGUGAUCCCCCACACUGGGACUGAGACACGGCCCAGACUCCUACGGGAGGCAGCAGUGAGGAAUAUUGCCCAAUGGACGCAAGUCUGAGGCAGCGACGCCGCGUGGGUGAUGAAGGCCUUCGGGUCGUAAAGCCCUUUUCUGCGUGACGAGACAAAGGCGGUAGCGCAGGAAAAGUCUCGGCUAACUACGUGCCAGCAGCCGC
RNAcentral lists this ribosomal RNA (465 nucleotides) under uncultured bacterium. Its description in RNAcentral is "SSU rRNA". It matches the Rfam family "Bacterial small subunit ribosomal RNA", at positions 26 to 518 of the family's 1533-position model. The record is from RNAcentral.